This 775-nucleotide ribosomal RNA is filed under the name uncultured Neocallimastigales. RNAcentral describes it as "partial large subunit ribosomal RNA". It matches the Rfam family "Eukaryotic large subunit ribosomal RNA", at positions 26 to 627 of the family's 3401-position model. The record is from RNAcentral. Lineage: Eukaryota; Fungi; Neocallimastigomycota; Neocallimastigomycetes; Neocallimastigales.
CGCAUCUGUGCAUGCAGCAUAUCAAUAAGCGGAGGAAAAGAAACUAACAAGGAUUCCCCUAGUAACGGCGAGUGAAGCGGGAAGAGCUCAAAUUUGAAAUCUUAAAGGGUUUCCCUUUACGAAUUGUAGUUUAAAGAAGUGUUUUCUGUUGAGGUUUUGGUAAAAGUUCUUUGGAAUAGGACAUCAUAGAGGGUGAGAAUCCCGUAUUUGACCUUUACUUUCAACUUUGUGAUACACUUUCAAAGAGUCGGAUUGUUUGGGAAUGCAGUCCAAAAUGGGUGGUAAAUUUCAUCUAAAGCUAAAUAUUGGCGAGAGACCGAUAGCGAACAAGUACCGUGAGGGAAAGAUGAAAAGAACUUUGAAAAGAGAGUUAAACAGUACGUGAAAUUGUCAAAAGGGAAGCGUUUGACACCAGUGUUGUUUUUCUGAAAAUCAAUUAAAGAACUGUUUAUGCUAAGUUGUUUAGACUUUAUCAGCUAACUGUUUAGUUUUGAGCUUUUCUUUAAUGCACUUUUCAGUUAACAAGUCAACAUCAAUUUCUUUUGCUGUAAAAAAGCUUGAGGAAGGUGGCUUGAGAUUCGUCUUAAGUGUUUGAUAGCCUCUUGCCUAUGCAGUCGGAGAGAUUGAGGUCUGCAGCGUAGAUCCUUCGGGGCUAAAUGCAUUUGUGCUAAGUUAUAGCAUUUUAUAGACAACUUGUUGACUAUGAUUUGUCUUGUAGCUUACUCGCUUAUGUUAUUUUACCUACGCUUAGGAUGUUGAACUCUAUCACACACAG